RNAcentral lists this ribosomal RNA (492 nucleotides) under uncultured bacterium. RNAcentral describes it as "partial 16S ribosomal RNA". It matches the Rfam family "Bacterial small subunit ribosomal RNA", at positions 29 to 507 of the family's 1533-position model. The record is from RNAcentral.
AGUGAACGCUGGCGGUAGGCCUAACACAUGCAAGUCGAACGGCAGCACAGCAAGAGCUUGCUCUUACGGGUGGCGAGUGGCGGACGGGUGAGGAAUACAUCGGAAUCUACUUUUUCGUGGGGGAUAACGUAGGGAAACCUACGCUAAUACCGCAUACGCCCUACGGGUGAAAGCAGGGGAUCUUCGGACCUUGCGCGAUUGAAUGAGCCGAUGUCGGAUUAGCUAGUUGGCGGGGUAAAGGCCCACCAAGGCGACGAUCCGUAGCUGGUCUGAGAGGAUGAUCAGCCACACUGGAACUGAGACACGGUCCAGACUCCUACGGGAGGCAGCAGUGGGGAAUAUUGGACAAAGGGCGCAAGCCUGAUCCAGCCAUACCGCGUGGGUGAAGAAGGCCUUCGGGUUGUAAAGCCCUUUUGUUGGGAAAGAAAAGCAGCAGGUUAAUACCCCGCUGUUCUGACGGUACCCAAAGAAUAAGCACCGGCUAACUUCGUG